GAAAGUACCUAAAUCCCAAGCAGUGAGGCUGUUGGCUACAUCACGCCAUGUGGAAAACCACCCUCUGGAUGGAAGUGGGAGAGCUGUGGCUAAGGCAGAGGGUCAGCAAGUUUACUGUCACCUUCCUUAUCACACCAGCAGAAUGGGAAUGUCCCACAGCACGGCUGCAGCCACGGCUUCCACACCACGUUGUACACAGAGAGCUGCUCCGGGACUGGAGUCAGUGUCCUGCGAUGCUCUUCGAUGGCUCUUCCCAUCUUCCUUAUGACAGUGUCAAAGAGGGGCUCAGUGUCAGCUGAGAGAGACAGAAAACUUCUGGAUUGAAGCUCCACUUUCUGCUAUUGCAAACCACCACUGUGCUACUGAAGCGAAGGCAGCAGGUUCAUCUCCUGCCAGCUGCUGCCCACAUAUCAAACUGUAUGACAAGGCUACACCACAGCUCUGCUUUUCCUUCCCUGGCCCACACAUGCAUUUCUGAUAUUAGGUGCUAUUCCUUAAAGCUACGAUAUUGGUCUCAUUGAUAGAUUUAUGUAUUUCCCCAAUAUAGCCCAGAAAUAUUCAGUCCAACACAUGGACAUUUGGAAAUGUUAUUAGCUUUAGUGAAGCGAGUAAUAUGGGACAUCCUUAAGCAGCAGCUAAUUUUUUGGUUUAAUGAUAUCAUAUACUUAUUGAUAAUAUUUAAAAUGAAUAGGCAUAAUAAUACUUAUAAUCCUAUAUAAUAUUAU
Molecule: long non-coding RNA, 725 nt
Organism: Empidonax traillii (willow flycatcher)
Lineage: Eukaryota; Metazoa; Chordata; Aves; Passeriformes; Tyrannidae
Exons: 3
Source: RefSeq, a predicted model, not a curated record